UACGUAGGGCGCAAGCGUUGUCCGGAAUUAUUGGGCGUAAAGAGCUCGUAGGCGGUUUGUCGCGUCUGCUGUGAAAUCCCCAGGCUCAACUUGGGGGCGUGCAGUGGGGUACGGGGCAGACUUGAGUACUGCAGGGGAGACUGGAAUUCCCGGUGUAGCGGUGAAAUGUGUAGAGAUCGGGAGGAACACCAGUGGCGAAGGCGGCCCGCUGGGCAGUGGCUGACGCUGAAGCGCGGACAGCGUGGGGAGCAAA
This 253-nucleotide ribosomal RNA is filed under the name uncultured bacterium. Its description in RNAcentral is "partial 16S ribosomal RNA". It matches the Rfam family "Bacterial small subunit ribosomal RNA", at positions 524 to 772 of the family's 1533-position model. The record is from RNAcentral.